Molecule: non-coding RNA, 122 nt
Filed under: Lepisosteus oculatus (spotted gar)
Lineage: Eukaryota; Metazoa; Chordata; Actinopteri; Semionotiformes; Lepisosteidae
Source: Rfam by way of RNAcentral
AGUCCUGCUCAGUACGAGAGGAACCGCAGGCUCAGCCAUUUGGUGCCUGUGCUUGGCUGAGGAGACAGUGCAAAACCACGGUCCAUAGGACCGUGACUGAAGGACUCGAAAUCGGAACCCCC